UUUUCUUUCAUAUUGUGGUUUCAUCAUUCGAUUAUAAAUAAUUAAUAUUUUAAUAUAAUAAAUGUCUCUGACCCUCCUAACUGGCUGUAGUCAAUUCAGCAAUCAAUUUUUAUCAGUAAGAACAUAUUUUUACAGACAAUAAUCUGGAUUAAAUUGUUUACUUUAAAUUAAAUUACUUUAAAUAAAAAAUAAGGCAUUUUCAUAAAAUAUUUUGAAGAUGCCUUUUUUGAGAAGGGUUGUGAUUUUCCAGAAAUCUGUUGCCAAUGGCUUCUCCGAGGCCACUGGUCAAAGCGACUGUCAGUUUUAUCAGUAAUGCCUAAUCAUAUUCUGACAAUAGCCUGUCUUGAAAGUCUGUCUUUUGAUUAUACUCUACGUUUAUAAGAAAUUUACUACAUUUUCUAAAUAACUAUUUUAUAUGUGGCCUUUUUGACAGGAGUGGAUAUGCAGGUUUUGCCAUAAACAUCUCUGAGCCUCCCAACUUGCAGUAGUCAAUUCAGUAAUCAAUUUCAGUAAGGGCAUAUUUUUACUGACAAUAAUCUGGAUUAAAUUGUUUACAUUAAAUUUAUUUAAAAAUAGCUCAUUUCCAUAAUAAAAUAUUUUGAAUAUGCCUUUUUGUCAAUGGCUUCUCUGAGGCCACUGGUCAAAGCGACUGUCAGUUUUAUCAGUAAUGACUAAUCAUAUUCUGACAAUAGGCUGGCUUGAAAGUUUGUCUUUUGAUUAUACUCUACGUUUAUAAGAACUUACAUUUUAUAAAUAGCUAUUUUAUAUGUGGCCUUUUUGACAGGAGUGGAUAUGCAGGUUUUGCCAUAAACGUCUCAUAUUUCUAAUCUUGCUGUGGUCAAAGCAACAGUCAAUUGUUAUCAGGAGAAAAAUGAUAUCUGCCUCACAAUAUUCAACGUGACUGUCAAUUUUGAUCAGUAAGGACGAUUCAUUCCCUGGUUAUCAACCUGUGGCUUGAGUUUUUAUCUUCAAAUGCUGACUUCAAAUAAAUUUGUCGAAUCUUAUCUGCUGUCAUUGAGUUUGAUAUAGGAAAAACCCGAUUGAAUUAUGAAACACCAUGUCUGUGUUGCAUGUAUUUCUAUAAGAUCAAAUAUAUUUAUUAAAUACAA
This is a long non-coding RNA of Cimex lectularius (bed bug), 1109 nucleotides long. RefSeq lists it as uncharacterized. Lineage: Eukaryota; Metazoa; Arthropoda; Insecta; Hemiptera; Cimicidae. The record is from RefSeq and is a predicted model, not a curated record. The transcript is spliced from 2 exons.